RNAcentral lists this ribosomal RNA (872 nucleotides) under uncultured bacterium. Its description in RNAcentral is "bacterial SSU rRNA". It matches the Rfam family "Bacterial small subunit ribosomal RNA", at positions 28 to 896 of the family's 1533-position model. The record is from RNAcentral.
AACGAACGCUGACGGUGUGCCUCAUACAUGCAAGUCGAGCGGGCGUAGCAAUACGUCAGCGGCGGACGGGUGAGUAACACGUGAACAAUCUGCCCUCGAAUUUGGGAUAACAGCUCCAACGAGCUGCUAAUACCGGAUAGGUUAAUCUGAUCUCCUGGUUGGAUUAAGAAAGUUGCAAUUGCAACGUUCGAGGAUGAGUUCGCGGCCCAUUAGCUAGUUGGCGGGGUAAAGGCCCACCAAGGCAACGAUGGGUAGCCGGCCUGAGAGGGUGAUCGGCCACAUUGGGACUGAGAUACGGCCCAGACUCCUACGGGAGGCAGCAGUAGGGAAUUUUGCGCAAUGGACGAAAGUCUGACGCAGCAACACCGUGUGAGGGAUGAAGCAUUUCGGUGUGUAAACCUCUGUCGAUGAUGAAUAAAGCGUGCGGGAGUGGAAAGCCCGUGCGUUGAAGCUAGUCAUGAAGGAAGCACCGGCUAACUCUGUGCCAGCAGCCGCGGUAAUACAGGGGGUGCAAGCGUUGUUCGGAAUCACUGGGCGUAAAGGGAGCGUAGGCGGAACUGCAAGACAGAGGUCAAAUCUCCGGCCUCAACCUGGAACUUGCCUUUGUGACUGCGGUUCUUGAGUAUGGUAGAGGUUGGCGGAAUUUCCGGUGUAGCGGUGGAAUGCGUAGAGAUCGGAAAGAACACCAGAGGCGAAGGCGGCCAACUGGACCAAUACUGACGCUGAGGCUCGAAAGCGUGGGGAGCAAACAGGAUUAGAUACCCUGGUAGUCCACGCUGUAAACGAUGAACACUAGAUGUCGGGAGGGGUUCCUUCCGGUGUCGUCGCUAACGCAGUAAGUGUUCCGCCUGGGGAGUACGCUCGCAAGGGUG